RNA transcript from Zingiber officinale, 3401 nucleotides. It is a transcript of the gene named probable protein phosphatase 2C 52, with no coding region annotated. NCBI's taxonomy places the organism in Eukaryota, Viridiplantae, Streptophyta, Magnoliopsida, Zingiberales, Zingiberaceae. The record is from RefSeq and is a predicted model, not a curated record. The transcript has 15 exons.
CGAGCUAAAACUAGAACCGAGGCCAAAAGGAACCACCAUCUUCUCCCCGAUCUCCCCCUUUUCCUCUCUUCCUUCGAUUUCGCCGAUCGCCGUCACGACGAUCUGCUCCCGGCCGCCUCAUUCUCCGCUUUCCGAUCUACGCGCUCGGCCUCGGAUCGAGGAGUUCUUAGCUCGGGAGGUUGUAUACAGGUGCUCAGCAAGAUAGAUGGUAUAUAAUGCUGACUUAAACGGCUUUGUCAAUCGCACGAAGAACCCGGAACGUUCGACUUCAAAGGAACAAGGGUGGAAAGAGGGCUUGGGUCCUCCUUGAGAUAAGAAUUUUGUUUUGAGACUUGCAACGAUGAUGGUGGAUUCAGGUCUAGCUUUGGAGCGUGGAGCUGCUGACAAUGUAUCACCUGAAAAGGAUCACGAAGUAAAUAGCAAUUAUGCAAGUGGAAGAUGGAAAAGUGUGGAUGCUCGUUGGCAGUGUGGAUAUGCUAGCUUUAAGGGGAAAAGACCAAGCAUGGAGGAUAACUAUGAUCAUAAAUCAGCCGAAAUUGAUGGAAAAUUGAUCGGCCUUUUUGGGAUAUUUGAUGGACAUGGUGGUUCACGCGCUUCUGAAUAUUUGAAGGAACACCUGUUCAACAACCUAACAAAGCAUCCAUUAUUGAUGGUGGAUACAAAAAUCGCAAUAAGUGAGACAUUUAAAAGAACUGAUUCAGAGUUCUUAGCUUCUGAAAGCAAUACGACUAGAGAUGAUGGUUCUACAGCCUCUACUGCAGUUUUGAUUGACAAACAAUUAUAUGUAGCUAAUGUCGGUGAUUCACGUGCCGUAAUAUGUAAGGCUGGAAAAGCAAUUCCUCUCUCUGAUGAUCACAAGCCGAAUAGAAGCGACGAGCGCAAGAGAAUUGAGGAUGCUGGAGGAGUUGUCAUGUGGGCUGGUACCUGGAGGGUUGGAGGCAUAUUAGCAAUGUCUCGAGCAUUUGGCAACCGCCUUCUAAAACAAUUUGUUCUAGCAGAGCCUGAGAUUCAGGAACAAGUGGUGGAUGAGGACUUGGAAUUUCUGGUUCUGGCCAGUGAUGGGCUUUGGGAUGUCGUGUCAAACGAGGAUGCAGUUUCCCUUGUGAGAAUGGAAGAGGAACCUGAAGUUGCUGCUAGGAAGUUAACAGAGACUGCCUUCGCACGUGGUAGUUCGGACAACAUUACAUGCGUUGUCGUUCGAUUUCUUCACAACAGAAUGGAUAUCGAUUAUCCUCCAUUAGUGGCUCAAGAUCAACAUGUUCCAUGUGGAGGCUCUCAAGCUAACUGUUGAGAUGCAAAUCAAAGCAUGACUAGUUUUGCAUAUCAGAUAUUGUGCUGCACCAGCCAAGCAUUAAGUUCAGGGUCGUGACGUUUGGCUUUCCGAGCUGUUCAAUUUGGACCCACAAGUUUGCUCCAAUUCGAACCGAGGGUCGGAGUAGUGGAUGUGUGUCCAGUCUUUUCGUUCAGUAUCUCCACUCCCUCUGUGAUGGGGCCUAUAGAAGGAUGGCCCGUGCCUUUCUUCUUUCUCAAGCAAUGCUUUGUGUUCUACCAUCUAUCAUCCAGGCAUCCACCGCCUUCUGCGGAAGAGCAGAGCACUAGCCAAGUAGAUCGCCACUGGAUGAUCCAUUUCCUCCGAAGAUCGCCGAAAAUCUCGUUGCUCUAACAACGGUUUGAGUUCGGGCUCUGAUUGAUCCGAUGUCGCGGUAGAGUUUGAUGGCGUCAGAGGAUGUUGUGGGGAAGAGCAUUGGGGGAGUCGGCGGUGGCAACUAUUGUAAGCCUCGCGGAGGAAGCAAAGCUCGAGCGAGAGUGAUUCAAGGCUCCGUCUAUGCGAUCCUUAGCAUCUGCAAGUCCCUUGUCGCAAGGGGAGUAGUCGCCGGAGGAGUGUAAAUCAACAGUUAGAAGAUCGCGGUACAUGCUAAUGAAAAAUGACAGGCACUGUGAGCAUUUAUUCAUAUUCUCUGUUCCUUACAUUGGAUGAUCAGAUCCAUGGUGAAAUAUUGGGGGUUAGCUAAUUUGGAUAAGCAGGUAAGUGUACAGAUAAGGAAUAUUGUGCUUCCUCAUAUAGUUCAAAGGUUAGAGUGAUGAUUGGUUGAUGAUUCCUGGUCACAGUUCCUCAGAUACUGAGAUCAAGGAGAUGAGGAAGGAGCCCUCUUUCAUUGAUACUUUCACCCGCACUUUUAGGAAAAAAGAUGAGACUUGGAGUGGGGCAAGAGCAAAAGCAGUAAAGGAAAAGUAUGAUGAACUCGAGCUAGCCCAAACAUGCUCACAAGCUGGUGGUGUCGAUAGUUAAGGGUUUGAGGACUCUGUUGGCAAUAAUUUGAGUUUAUGGUUGGAGGCAAGUGGAGGACCAAAAGGGGGAAGGAUAUUAGGGAUGAGUUCCUUAAGCAGAACCCAAAGAAUAGUUGGAACAUUUUCCUCCUCACCAGCACUUACAACCCAAGUAAAUAACUUGACUGAAGAGGUUAGCAAUUUGAAGGAAAUAUUAUCACAAAGAGGCCUAGAAAGGGCGCAAAGAGACCUAGAAAGGGCGCAAAGAGACCUAGAAAGGGAGCAAGAUAUGAGAGAGUUGCGCCGACAAUAAGAUUUUAUCAUGCGACACCUUCAGUUGAGCUCCGCUCUAAGUCAGAUUCCUCCGCAAGACAAUGAUGAUGAUGGCGGUGAUGGUUAUUCAUGAUUUUAAUUAUGGUUGAUGAGGCGAAAUAUAUGUCGGAGAAAAAAAUUAUUUUUCCUAAAGAUGGUGGAGCUCGUGUGAAUGAUCUGUGCAUCGAAGAAGACUUUGGACUCUAGUACCCAAUUCAGUUAAGGUAAGCUUUUCGCUGUUUGAUUUUUAUUAUUUAUUAAUUUAAUGAGCCUUCGUGUGUGAGGUUGUAAAUUACAUCCUUGGAGUAGAAAUAAGAAUAUCGAACUGAAGCCGGAAUUGAAUUGGAGAGACAAUAUUAUAAGUUUUUUGUUUUUUCCUCCCAAAAAAAACCCCACGUAUCCAGUGAACGAAUUAAGGAUAUUCAUGCAGACAGAUGGCUCUUUUGAUCUCUGCAAGGAGUAUAGCCGUAGAGGUAUUCGUAUUGCUGGAACCGCUUUUUUUUAGAAGUUCGUAAUUUUAUUUUGGAUGCGAUAGAUUCUUCACUGUCUUGUGCGCGACCAGAAGGUUUAUCUAGUGGAAUCCAGGGCCUUAAUUACCUAGUUUUCGAAUGUUCAGUAGAUAAUGAUAUAUGUAUGCAUGCCUCUAGGUGUCUGUAUAUAAUUCCAUAGGAAGCGUUUGCCUCUAUAAGAAUUUUUGUAUGGAGGUUCUUUUUAGUAGUUCGAUUGUUCAUAGUGAAUUUGUCGUUGCCAGCUGUUAUUAUUUUUUUUAUCCAACAACUGAAAUGAGACCCAUAUAAUUUAUAUUCUUUAGUAUAUAGUUU